This 499-nucleotide ribosomal RNA is filed under the name uncultured bacterium. RNAcentral's name for it is "partial 16S ribosomal RNA". It matches the Rfam family "Bacterial small subunit ribosomal RNA", at positions 28 to 507 of the family's 1533-position model. The record is from RNAcentral.
GACGAACGCUGGCGGCGUGCCUAAUACAUGCCAGUCGAGCGGACCAAACAGGAGCUUGCUCUUGUUUGGUUAGCGGCGGACGGGUGAGUAACACGUGGGUAACCUGCCCGUAAGACCGGGAUAACUCCGGGAAACCGGAGCUAAUACCGGAUAACACCGAAGACCGCAUGGUCUUUGGUUGAAAGGCGGCUUCGGCUGCCACUUACGGAUGGGCCCGCGGCGCAUUAGCUAGUUGGUGAGGUAACGGCUCACCAAGGCGACGAUGCGUAGCCGGCCUGAGAGGGUGACCGGCCACACUGGGACUGAGACACGGCCCAGACUCCUACGGGAGGCAGCAGUAGGGAAUCUUCCGCAAUGGACGAAAGUCUGACGGAGCGACGCCGCGGGAGCGAAGAAGGUCUUCGGAUCGUAAAGCUCGGUUGUUAGGGAAGAAGAAGCGCCGUUCGAACAGGGCGGCGCGGUGACGGUACCUAACGAGAAAGCCCCGGCUAACUACGUG